This 85-nucleotide transfer RNA is filed under the name Felis catus (domestic cat). It matches the Rfam family "tRNA". From Rfam's summary of the family: Transfer RNA (tRNA) molecules are approximately 80 nucleotides in length. Their secondary structure includes four short double-helical elements and three loops (D, anti-codon, and T loops). Further hydrogen bonds mediate the characteristic L-shaped molecular structure. tRNAs have two regions of fundamental functional importance: the anti-codon, which is responsible for specific mRNA codon recognition, and the 3' end, to which the tRNAs corresponding amino acid is attached (by aminoacyl-tRNA synthetases). tRNAs cope with the degeneracy of the genetic code in two manners: having more than one tRNA (with a specific anti-codon) for a particular amino acid; and 'wobble' base-pairing, i.e. permitting non-standard base-pairing at the 3rd anti-codon position. RNAcentral also lists the same sequence under 1 other name. Lineage: Eukaryota; Metazoa; Chordata; Mammalia; Carnivora; Felidae. The record is from Rfam by way of RNAcentral.
ACCUGGGUGGCUCAGUCGGUUGAGCGUCCGACUUCAGCUCAGGUCAUGAUCUCACAGUUUGUGGGUUCGAGCCCCGCAUCAGGCU